RNAcentral lists this ribosomal RNA (449 nucleotides) under uncultured bacterium. RNAcentral's name for it is "bacterial SSU rRNA". It matches the Rfam family "Bacterial small subunit ribosomal RNA", at positions 29 to 517 of the family's 1533-position model. The record is from RNAcentral.
AACGAACGCUGGCGGCAGGCCUAACACAUGCAAGUCGAGCGAGGUAGCAAUACCUAGCGGCGGACGGGUUAGUAACGCGUGGGAACGUGCCCAAAGGUACGGAAUAGCCUCGGGAAACUGAGAGUAAUACCGUAUGUGCCCUUCGGGGGAAAGGAUUUAUCGCCUUUGGAUCGGCCCGCGUUGGAUUAGGUAGUUGGUGGGGUAAUGGCCUACCAAGCCGACGAUCCAUAGCUGGUUUGAGAGGAUGAUCAGCAACACUGGGACUGAGACACGGCCCAGACUCCUACGGGAGGCAGCAGUGGGGAAUCUUAGACAAUGGGGGAAACCCUGAUCUAGCCAUGCCGCGUGAGCGAUGAAGGCCUUAGGGUUGUAAAGCUCUUUCAGCUGGGAAGGAUAAUAGACGGUACCCGAGCAGAAGAAGACCCCGGCCGUAACUACCGUCGCCGACG